RNAcentral lists this ribosomal RNA (366 nucleotides) under Triticum aestivum (bread wheat). RNAcentral's name for it is "partial small subunit ribosomal RNA". The record is from RNAcentral. Lineage: Eukaryota; Viridiplantae; Streptophyta; Magnoliopsida; Poales; Poaceae.
AUGACAUCCCCAAGCACUCCGAAGGACAAGUUCUUCGAGAAGGUCAUCAACCCCUACCUCACGGAGGUGUUGAAAUGCCCUGAAACCAUUGAGAUGCGUGAGGGGGUGUUGCACAUCCGUGAUGUUCAAGGACCAAAGGGGACCGGAAGCAUGGAGAUGAGGCUCGAAGCAAUGGAGCAACAAGUCUUUAGGUGCCAAGGGAUGGUGGAACGUGGACUCAACUCCAAUCACUCCAUGAUCACGGAAUUUACCCGUGACCAAAAGCUGGACGCCAAGAACAUCGGAGAGGACAUCUUCAAGCAUCAUGAGAAAAUCGAGCAUCUCCGAGCCCAGAUCAAUGACCUGCAAAACCAAAACUGUGAGUAA